UAGUCUAUGCACCACAAUCUCAGUAUCCAACCCAGGCAUAUCUUGAUAAGACCAGGCGAAUAUCUCCACAUACUCUCUCAGCAUCUCAAUAAAUUUGCUCUUGACCUCUGUCUUCAAAGCAGCCCCGAUCUUGAUAUCUCUUCAGGCGUCCUCAGUACCAAGAUUAACAAUCUCCAACUCCUCCUGAUGAGGUUGGAUGACC
This 202-nucleotide long non-coding RNA is filed under the name Lathyrus oleraceus (garden pea). RNAcentral describes it as "Pisum sativum (pea) long non-coding RNA (PSAT_LNC033516)". The record is from RNAcentral. Lineage: Eukaryota; Viridiplantae; Streptophyta; Magnoliopsida; Fabales; Fabaceae.